Molecule: non-coding RNA, 4514 nt
Organism: Musa acuminata subsp. malaccensis (wild Malaysian banana)
Lineage: Eukaryota; Viridiplantae; Streptophyta; Magnoliopsida; Zingiberales; Musaceae
Source: RefSeq, a predicted model, not a curated record
GUCUCCUUCGAGAAUUCUCCAUCGACAACCGCGUUUCUAGGGUUUCCACCGCCCUCGUCUUCCCCGCGACGCCUCCUUCCGAUCUCCCCGAUUCCCCGUUGGCCGAGCUCUCCUCCUACCGGUGCCGAUCUCUUGAAUCCGCAUCGAAGUCUCGCCCUCUGCCCGCUUUGUUUCACAUUGAUCGUUCCUGCGGCGAUCCGAGAUCUCGCGGUUCGAAGGCGUUGCGGGGUCUCUCCCAAGUUGGAUCGUUAUUGAUCUCCUACAACUAUCGUCUUUAGUUUCUGACCUUGAAACCAAGCAUAUUUCUUGCAAAGGUUGAACUUCUUUUUGCUAAAUCAAGAGCUUGUGGCGGAUUUGGGGAGAUGAAACCAGGCAAGGAAGGGCAGGACUCCCUGAACAACAUCAUUAGACAAGCAAUUGAUAAAGAAACACUUCUUUCAGUCUGUAGAACUGGUGAUAAUCUUGUUCACUGGAUUCAUUUACUCCAAUGCUCUAGACCAGUAGGAAAGCAGCAAUUUUUCUAAAGAUUAAUUGUUGGACAAUUUUGUAGGAGGAAAGGAUAGCAUUCUUGAACUUUGCAAAGGUGAGACUGCUGGCAUGAGUGAGGCUAUGGAAGAUAGUUGUUCUUCAAAGGAUAGUGACAGCACUAUCAAGGGGACUAAAACCUCAUCUGAACAGAUGCAAGCACUCAAAAUUCCUGAAGCUGUUCUAGCCUUUGCUCAAGCUGCUGCAAGGGCAAACGGUGAGCCUGAAAAAUAUCUUCCAGGAUGGCCUUUGUUCUCACCAGCUAAGGUGCAAUUGCAGAAAUGUGAAAAGUGUUCUCGAGAGUUUUGCUCUAUGAUAAAUUAUAGAAGACACAUACUUGUGCAUAGGCGUACCUUAAAGAUUGAUAAGGAUUUUCCAAGGAACAGGGAGUAUUUGGGUGCCUUCUGGGAUAAGCUAUCUUCGGAUAAGGCCGAAGAAAUUCUUUCUUUCACAAACAUGUCCAUAGAGGAGGUUAGCGGUGCUUCAAUCAUAAGGGUAUUGUCAUUGUGGAUUGGAAAACCAUUCUUUCAUUCUCUACCGCAAACAUAUGCAAAGGCUGGAUCUGCUUUAUUGGAUGUGAUCCAAGCAAGGCCUGCCAGCUCACCGAUAUGCUCCAAGAAACUCUUUAGUAUCCUUGAUGAUGCAAGUGAAAAUACUUUUUUGUGCACUGGCACAGCUGUGUCCUUGCAGAAGUUUGUGUUUGACGGUGAAGUAUCAAAGAUUGCACUGGAAAUGAAAAACCUCAUUGCUUGUAUUAGUUUCUUGCUUGAGCAGAAACUGGUCAAAUCAUGGGUUGCUGACAAGGAUGCUGAAGCUUUAAGAUGCCACAAGUUGCUCAUGGAGGAAGAGGAAGCUGCUCAGAGAAGGCAAGCUGAACUUCUGGAAAGGAAAAGAUUGAAGAAACUUAGGCAGAAAGAACAGAAAACAAAGGACUUAAUUGGUGUAGAAAAUAGGAUCGGUUCAAUUAGAAGUACAGACGGCAAAACUGAAUUCCCUGGGAGAUCAAGUUCAAGGACUUCAUCUCAUUCAGAUUUGAAUACCCCAGCAAUAUCAGAAAACCAAGUCCAUCAUUUUACUCCAUCAUUGGACCCUGUUAUGGCUACCGACUUCAGGAUGCAUGUGGAUACCGAGGUUGCAGUUCAGUAUAUUGUUCAAAAUCAGAUGAAUGACAAACAACAUCCUGUUUCCACGCAGCAUUUACUCUCCAAACCAAAAAAAACCAUUAAAAAUGGUUUUGGUACAUUUCAGGUCCCUGCUGCAAAAUUUUCAGGUCCAAAAAAAAAUGGUCUCUAUAAGGACACAAAGGCCGCUUCAUCAACCACUGGUUAUAAGAUUUGGACCCAGAAAAAUAGGCGAGAGGAGGUGCCAUAUGACAGAAUGGACAAGAUUCAUCCAGAUCAUUCGGUUUAUGUUGAUGGUUCGAAGGUUAUAAUUGGUUCAAUAUGUGUAGCACUUGGAAGCAGUGAUAGAUCUAAAUCUUCUCAAGGGAAGCUGGUCAAGCCUUGUACUAAACACAACAAUGUCAAAUCUUCAACAGGAAUGCUGUGGAAACCCGUGGGAUGCCAUGAAAGUGGGUAUGAAUUGACAACUAUAUCUGAUAUGAAGGACUAUAACUUGGAUGUGUCUUUGGCCAAAAAUUCUGACCAAGUUUCUCCCAGCGAGACCCAUCUUGCUUUAGUUGAGAAGAGAGACAGUGUUCCUGGGGCACAGCAGGACUCUUUGGCAGCCCAAACAAGUGCAGGGCCAUUGUUGUUCUCAAGCAAAAUUGCUGAGGCUUUUCUCACAGAGAGAUGGAAGGAGGCCAUUGCUGCAGAUCAUGUGAAGCUAGUUCUACCAUCUGAAACUGAAGCAUAUGAUAGCUGUGAUAAUCCCCAGUAUGAUUGCUCUGAGGAAAGGCCACAUUCUUAUGAUUGCCUUGGACAUGGCAAAUUUGGUAGCGGAGAAAAAGGUGGGGUGCCUGGAAUGGAUUUGAUCGAAUCUUCAUCCAAGCCUAAAUUUAGAACAAAGCCCGACAAAAAUUACAAACUAAAAUAUGUUGCGAAGCAACGGAGUACUGCUUUAGGUGAGUCAAACAGGAAGAUGGAAGGGAAAGAGGAAGAUGUGAGGUUGGGAGCAAACAAGUUCUCGGAGAGGCAGCCGAUAGGAACGGCAGCGCAGAGCGACAAGGACUACAAGGAACCUCCACCGGCUCCCUUGUUCGAGCCCGGGGAGCUCACCUCUUGGUCCUUCUACAGGGCUGGGAUAGCGGAGUUCAUGGCUACCUUCCUCUUCCUCUACAUCACCAUCCUCACGGUCAUGGGCGUGGUCAAGUCCAACAGCAAGUGCUCCACGGUGGGCAUCCAAGGGAUUGCCUGGGCCUUCGGUGGCAUGAUCUUUGCCUUGGUCUACUGUACCGCCGGGAUCUCUGGUGGCCACAUCAACCCCGCGGUGACCUUCGGGCUGUUCCUGGCGAGGAAGCUGUCGCUGACCAGGGCUCUGUUCUACAUGGUGAUGCAGUGCCUGGGCGCCAUCUGCGGUGCCGGUGUGGUCAAGGGGUACCAGAAGGGGCUCUAUGAGAGCAACGGUGGCGGAGCUAACGUCGUGGCUCCUGGCUACACCAAGGGUGAUGGCCUGGGUGCUGAGAUCGUCGGCACCUUCAUCCUCGUCUACACUGUUUUCUCUGCUACUGACGCCAAAAGAAACGCCAGGGACUCUCAUGUUCCCAUUUUGGCUCCCCUCCCCAUUGGGUUUGCCGUGUUCCUUGUCCACCUGGCUACCAUCCCCAUCACCGGCACCGGCAUCAACCCUGCCAGAAGCCUUGGCGCUGCCAUCAUCUACAACAAGAAGCAUGCCUGGGAUGAUCAUCCAAAACCUUGUCGGCAAGAUCGUGGACAGAGAGACCAAAAGGGGAGAAGGGCGAGACGGACGGAGAGGGAGAUGUGGCCGUUCAGCCGGAAGGGGGCGUCGGGGUUCUCCUGGUCAUCCACCGCGGAGGAGGUCACCGAAGGAUUAGAUGGGAGCGGCCUCACCGCCGUCGUCACAGGAGCAUCGAGUGGAAUUGGUGCUGAAACAGCCCGGGUUCUUGCACUUCGAGGUGUUCGCGUAGUUAUGGCGGUUAGGAAUUUGUCUUCAGGUGCCACAGUAAAGGACUCGAUUUUAAAGGAAAUUCCGGCUGCCGAGGUUGAUGUCAUGGAGUUGGAUCUUACUUCGAUGGCAUCAGUGAGAAAGUUUGCCUCUGAAUUCAAUUCCUUAAAUCUUCCUCUGAACAUCCUUAUCAACAAUGCAGGGGUAAUGGCAACUCCAUUCUCACUCUCUGAAGAUGGUAUUGAGCUGCAAUUUGCAACUAACCAUGUUGGCCAUUUUCUUCUGACUUACCUUCUAUUGGACAAUAUGAAGAAUGCAUCCCGUACAUCCAGAAUAGAAGGCAGGAUUGUUAAUGUUUCAUCAGAGGGGCAUAGAUUUGCAUACAGUGAAGGAAUUCGUUUUGAUAAAAUAAAUGAUCAGUCAGGAUACAACAGCAUUGGUGCCUAUGGGCAGUCAAAGCUUGCGAAUAUAUUGCACGCUAAUGAACUUGCAAAAUGCUUCAAGGAAGAGAAGGUGGAGAUAAUUGCCAAUUCUCUUCAUCCUGGAUCGAUUAUCACAAAUCUUCUUCGUUACCACAGUUUCAUAGAUGUCAUUGCUCGUACGCUCGGGAAGCUAGUGUUGAAAAAUGUGCAGCAGGGGGCAGCAACCACAUGCUACGUAGCGCUGCAUCCUCAAGUCAAGGAGGUGAGUGGCAGGUACUUUUGCGACAGCAAUUUAGCUGAGCCAAGUUCAAAAGCCAAGGAUGUGGACUUGGCGAAGAAACUGUGGGACUUCAGUGUAGAUUUAGUUACCUGAUAUGUUUGAAACCUAUGGUUAAUAGUAUAACAAGUAUUGCUUGUCAGAACAAAUAAAUACUUCCAAGGAUGUUAUUGUGGUUUGUUCUGGAUUUAAUUUAUCGAUAAAGGACGUGAGACCAUUUGGGUUUA